RNAcentral lists this ribosomal RNA (825 nucleotides) under uncultured Campylobacter sp. RNAcentral's name for it is "bacterial SSU rRNA". It matches the Rfam family "Bacterial small subunit ribosomal RNA", at positions 563 to 1385 of the family's 1533-position model. The record is from RNAcentral. Lineage: Bacteria; Pseudomonadati; Campylobacterota; Epsilonproteobacteria; Campylobacterales; Campylobacteraceae.
AAGGGCGCGUAGGCGGAUUAUCAAGUCUCUUGUGAAAUCUAAUGGCUUAACCAUUAAACUGCUUGGGAAACUGAUAGUCUAGAGUGAGGGAGAGGCAGAUGGAAUUGGUGGUGUAGGGGUAAAAUCCGUAGAUAUCACCAAGAAUACCCAUUGCGAAGGCGAUCUGCUGGAACUCAACUGACGCUAAGGCGCGAAAGCGUGGGGAGCAAACAGGAUUAGAUACCCUGGUAGUCCACGCCCUAAACGAUGUACACUAGUUGUUGGGAUGCUAGUCAUCUCAGUAAUGCAGCUAACGCAUUAAGUGUACCGCCUGGGGAGUACGGUCGCAAGAUUAAAACUCAAAGGAAUAGACGGGGACCCGCACAAGCGGUGGAGCAUGUGGUUUAAUUCGAAGAUACGCGAAGAACCUUACCUGGGCUUGAUAUCCUAAGAACCUUUUAGAGAUAAGAGGGUGCUAGCUUGCUAGAACUUAGAGACAGGUGCUGCACGGCUGUCGUCAGCUCGUGUCGUGAGAUGUUGGGUUAAGUCCCGCAACGAGCGCAACCCACGUAUUUAGUUGCUAACGGUUCGGCCGAGCACUCUAAAUAGACUGCCUUCGUAAGGAGGAGGAAGGUGUGGACGACGUCAAGUCAUCAUGGCCCUUAUGCCCAGGGCGACACACGUGCUACAAUGGCAUAUACAAUGAGACGCAAUACCGCGAGGUGGAGCAAAUCUAUAAAAUAUGUCCCAGUUCGGAUUGUUCUCUGCAACUCGAGAGCAUGAAGCCGGAAUCGCUAGUAAUCGUAGAUCAGCCAUGCUACGGUGAAUACGUUCCCGGGUCUUGUA